RNAcentral lists this ribosomal RNA (455 nucleotides) under Synoeca virginea. RNAcentral's name for it is "partial large subunit ribosomal RNA". Lineage: Eukaryota; Metazoa; Arthropoda; Insecta; Hymenoptera; Vespidae. The record is from RNAcentral.
AGUCGUUYUGCCCAUUGAAAUUAAAAGGCUGCGGUAUUUUAACUGUACAAAGGUAGCAAAAUAAAUAGUUUUUUAAUUGAAAACUUGAAUGAAAGAGUUAAUAAGAUAUUAAUUGUCUCGAUUAAUUAAUUUAAAUUAAAAGUUAAAAUGCUUUUAUAAAUUUAUUARACGAUAAGACCCUAAGAAUUUAAUUAUAUAUUUUAAUUAAAUUAUAAUAUUAAUAUUUAAUAAUUUUAUUGGGAGGAUAAUUAAAUUUAACUUUAAUUGAAAAAAAUAUUGAUAAAUAAAUAAUGAUUAARAUAAAGAUUAUAAGAAUUAAUUACCUUAGGGAUAACAGCGUAAUAAUUUUGGARAGUUCAUAUUGAUAAAAUUGUUUACGACCUCSAUGUUGAAUUAAAAUAAAAAUUAAAUGAARAUAUUUAAAUUUUUAGUCUGUUCGACUAUUAAAAUUUUAC